AAUAACUUUGUAGCUUAUUGCUUGUUUGAUCACGCCAUUACUUGGUUGAAUGUGUAGCUGCGUCACAACUUAAGGUAUGAUUACCUGGUCAAUCGUGCUUCAGUGU
Molecule: long non-coding RNA, 106 nt
Organism: Gavialis gangeticus (Gharial)
Lineage: Eukaryota; Metazoa; Chordata; Crocodylia; Gavialidae
Exons: 3
Source: RefSeq, a predicted model, not a curated record